GGUCCGAGCUUGAAAGAUGGCUUCGGCUAUCACUUUUGGAUGGUCCCGCGGCGUAUUAGCUAGAUGGUGGGGUAACGGCUCACCAUGGCAAUGAUACGUAGCCGACCUGAGAGGGUAAUCGGCCACAUUGGGACUGAGACACGGCCCAAACUCCUACGGGAGGCAGCAGUAGGGAAUCUUCCACAAUGGACGAAAGUCUGAUGGAGCAACGCCGCGUGAGUGAAGAAGGGUUUCGGCUCGUAAAACUCUGUUGUUAAAGAAGAACAUAUCUGAGAGUAACUGUUCAGGUAUUGACGGUAUUUAACCAGAAAGCCACGGCUAACUACGUGCCAGCAGCCGCGGUAAUACGUAGGUGGCAAGCGUUGUCCGGAUUUAUUGGGCGUAAAGCGAGCGCAGGCGGUUUUUUAAGUCUGAUGUGAAAGCCUUCGGCUCAACCGAAGAAGUGCAUCGGAAACUGGGAAACUUGAGUGCAGAAGAGGACAGUGGAACUCCAUGUGUAGCGGUGAAAUGCGUAGAUAUAUGGAAGAACACCAGUGGCGAAGGCGGCUGUCUGGUCUGUAACUGACGCUGAGGCUCGAAAGUAUGGGUAGCAAACAGGAUUAGAUACCCUGGUAGUCCAUACCGUAAACGAUGAAUGCUAAGUGUUGGAGGGUUUCCGCCCUUCAGUGCUGCAGCUAACGCAUUAAGCAUUCCGCCGGGGGAGUACGGCCGCAAGGCUGAAACUCAAAGGAAUUGACGGGGGCCCGCACAAGCGGUGGAGCAGGUGGUUUAAUUCGAAGCUACGCGAAGAACCUUACCAGGUCUUGACAUACUAUGCAAAUCUAAAAAUUAAGACUUUCCCUUCGGGGAAUGGAUACAGGUGGGGCAGGGUUGUCCUCCACUCCGUGCCGGGGUAAUGUGGGUUAAUUCC
RNAcentral lists this ribosomal RNA (910 nucleotides) under Lactiplantibacillus plantarum. RNAcentral's name for it is "bacterial SSU rRNA". It matches the Rfam family "Bacterial small subunit ribosomal RNA", at positions 191 to 1087 of the family's 1533-position model. The record is from RNAcentral. Lineage: Bacteria; Bacillati; Bacillota; Bacilli; Lactobacillales; Lactobacillaceae.